GACGAACGCUGGCGGCGUGCCUAAUACAUGCAAGUAGAACGCUGAAGGAGGAGCUUGCUUCUCUGGAUGAGUUGCGAACGGGUGAGUAACGCGUAGGUAACCUGCCUGGUAGCGGGGGAUAACUAUUGGAAACGAUAGCUAAUACCGCAUAAUAGUAGAUGUUGCAUGACAUUUGCUUAAAAGGUGCAAUUGCAUCACUACCAGAUGGACCUGCGUUGUAUUAGCUAGUUGGUGGGGUAACGGCGCACCAAGGCGACGAUACAUAGCCGACCUGAGAGGGGGAUCGGCCCAACUGGGACUGAGACACGGCCCAGGAUCCUACGGGAGGCAGCAGUAGGGAAUCUUCGGCAAUGGACGGAAGUCUGACCGAGCAACGCCGGGUGAGUGAAGAAGGUUUUCGGAUCGUAAAGCUCUGUUGUAAGGGAAGAAAGAGUGUGGGAGUGGAAAGUUCACACUGUGACGGUAUCUUACCAGAAAGGGACGGCUAACUACGUG
RNAcentral lists this ribosomal RNA (495 nucleotides) under uncultured bacterium. Its description in RNAcentral is "partial 16S ribosomal RNA". It matches the Rfam family "Bacterial small subunit ribosomal RNA", at positions 28 to 507 of the family's 1533-position model. The record is from RNAcentral.